This 825-nucleotide ribosomal RNA is filed under the name Triticum aestivum (bread wheat). Its description in RNAcentral is "partial small subunit ribosomal RNA". The record is from RNAcentral. Lineage: Eukaryota; Viridiplantae; Streptophyta; Magnoliopsida; Poales; Poaceae.
AUGCUCACUCGCUCGAUCUUUCCAUCGUCAUCAAUGGCGUCCGCACUGUCGUCGAUGGUGCGGAUGAUGAUGCGGAGGCAGGGCGGCCCGCCGCCCGCUUUCGUGCGCGACCUGCACCGCGAGGACCAAACGCUCCAGGAGCGCUCCAUGUGCGACUGCAGCAAGCAACCGGCAUUGACGCCUUGCUGUCAGCGCACCGAAGAGGAGCGCGACGCCUCCAUCAUCGGCCACGUCCACCACGCCCUCCGCCACUACAGCGCCACCAACCCGGGCUCGGAGUUCGUCCCCAUCAAGCCAUUGAUGGCCGCGUACGUGGGUUUCCAUGGCCACAUCUGGGUCCACGUCAGCUUCGUGGCUCGCGGGAGGAAGAUCGUCAGCGGCAAACGGAGGCGCAACACUGUCAGCGACACCGUCACCGACGAGCACUUUUUCGCCGAGCUGCGCUACUGCCACCGCCGCUCCGACGCGCCGACCGUCGAAACAUGCACCAUCGUCGAUAAGAAGCCUCGCCACGGCCACUUGAAGACUGCGUGUACAUUUUGCCCAGAAAGCUUUGAGAUCUUGCACCCUCUUGACGGGAGCUUCUUGUGCGGGAAGAAGAGCCAAGAAAAUGAAGGGCGGGGCUUCACACACUUCAUGAAUCUGCUUGAGAAGCCGUUCACAUGCCCCACUGCCGGUGGAGAAGACAAGGAGGAUGCGGCAGCUCCGGAGGAACAGAAAGCUCCAGAGGAACAGAAGGAGGAACAUAGUAGCACCAUGAGCCGGGCUCUCUCCUCCUUUGAUUUUUUUCCGUUAUCUCAUGACAAGGAUUUUGCCAGCCUUUGA